UGGGGAAUAUUGCGCAAUGGGCGAAAGCCUGACGCAGCGACGCCGCGUGAGGGAUGAAGGUUUUCGGAUCGUAAACCUCUGUCAGAAGGGAAGAAACCGCACUGUGCUAAUCAGCAGUGCCUUGACGGUACCUUCAAAGGAAGCACCGGCUAACUCCGUGCCAGCAGCCGCGGUAAUACGGAGGGUGCAAGCGUUAAUCGGAAUUACUGGGCGUAAAGCGCACGUAGGCUGCUUUGUAAGUCAGGGGUGAAAUCCCACGGCUCAACCGUGGAAAUGGCUUUGAUACUGCUUAGCUUGAAGCCGGGGGAGGGUGGCGGAAUUCCAGGUGUAGGAGUGAAAUCCGUAGAUAUCUGGAGGAACAUCAGUGGCGAAGGCGGCCACCUGGACCGGUAUUGACGCUGAGGUGCGAAAGCGUGGGGAGCAAACAGG
This 429-nucleotide ribosomal RNA is filed under the name Fusobacteriota bacterium. RNAcentral's name for it is "Fusobacteria bacterium partial 16S ribosomal RNA". It matches the Rfam family "Bacterial small subunit ribosomal RNA", at positions 355 to 776 of the family's 1533-position model. The record is from RNAcentral. Lineage: Bacteria; Fusobacteriati; Fusobacteriota.